Molecule: long non-coding RNA, 1534 nt
Organism: Lactuca sativa (garden lettuce)
Lineage: Eukaryota; Viridiplantae; Streptophyta; Magnoliopsida; Asterales; Asteraceae
Source: RefSeq, a predicted model, not a curated record
UAUUUCACUCGAGCUUUUGAGCUGGCCCCUUAAUCCCUGAUGAGAUCGUACCUAAUCCUUUUAGAAUCCAGAUAUAUCGGCUAAAAUUAAUCGAUUCAGGCCCAUCUAGAAUCCCAACUAUUUCGGCUUCCAUCUCCUUCACAAACUCUCUCGUUUUAUUCUCUCAAAAACAAAAGUUGUCGACCCUGUUAUCUCCCUCAUCAGUCAAUGCAACCACCACCAACACUCUCAUUCUCGAAUUUAUGUUAAAUAACUUGGCUUGCCCUGAUUUCAAUAUUUACCCCCUCUCACAUCGCCUCUGCUUCCGGCAACUGCAUCGCUGGUUCUGUCCUCUUCUUUUAAUGCUUUGUUAAAGGCAGGGCGGGUGCCUGGUUUUAGCAUAUCAUUAUGUUAUUGCAAACCACAAUGUCAUUCACCACGAUGCUCUAUAUCUCAAACCCUAAGCCACAAUUUAUCGUCGGCACCAUCACUCCCCUACCAUCUCUCUCUAACUUAGACUUUCGCUGAUCAUUCACCACUAUCUUUACGACACCGCAUCGGCAGCACCAUCGGGGUUUCUUUCCCUCUUACUGUCGCCUUCAAUCACCUGAAAAAUCCUUCUCUACACUUUGCCAUUUCAUAAUUCCUAACGUCACCACCAACAUACCGAUCGUUCCUAUUCCUAUCUGCCACCAACACCUUCGCCUCUGACAUGGUUGUAGAGUACUUGAGCCAAUUAAGGAACACUACCACGUCAUCUAUUAUGAUGAUUUCUAUCAGUUGGCUUUUGUUGUUGCUGUAGAAUUUACUGUAUGACUUGAUGUUCCCUUCAAUCCAGUUUACAGCAAACCCAAGUAGCAUCCAAUCAUUGUGUCGAGUUAUUGAUCUCUAAUGGAUGUUUCAGUGGAGAAAAUAGCCUUCUUUAUCAUCUUUUAUUAUAUUUAUUUCUACAUGAUUUUUCUGAUGGUUCACAAUUUUUUGGUUUUAGGAUAGCAAGGCUUAUGAGAGAUAAACAGAGAAAUGAGAUUGGGGGUCAUCUUUUCAAGACUAGAUGUCAUCUUUUCAAGAACACAAAACUAACAAAUUUACUAUUAAUGGUGUUUGACACACGUUGCAAUUGUAUUUUUUGCUCUUAGAAUAAUGGGUGCUCAUAAUGCAGGAAAAAUAACUUUCAUCAGAAUAAUCAUGAUAAGGUGGGUGGUUCAUUUUCGAAAUCGAUGGACACUAUUACGGAUAUGGAGAUCAUACUAAAGAGAUGAUGAUGGUUGACAUGUUUAUCAUGUAGCUCCAACUAGCAACUUUUCUCUUUACAUUCUCUUUUGGGACAAAACAACACUGUUUUGGGUUGCAAAGUAUGGAAAUAAUCUACAUGAACUUAUUGGCUUAGUAGGAUUGUGAGCUUGGGGAUGUUGGAUUUUUAGUAAAGAGUAUAACGCAAUUGUGAAGGAAAUAUUGGUAGCUCCUUUCCCAGAUCUGCUUCACUUGCUUCAUUAUUCAUCAAACGAAUCAAUUAAUGACAAAAAAAAGUUAAAGUAAAAUGCUAUUAAUGUAUGAA